RNAcentral lists this ribosomal RNA (449 nucleotides) under uncultured bacterium. RNAcentral's name for it is "partial 16S ribosomal RNA". It matches the Rfam family "Bacterial small subunit ribosomal RNA", at positions 29 to 523 of the family's 1533-position model. The record is from RNAcentral.
AACGAACGCUGGCGGCAGGCUUAACACUUGCAAGUCGAACGCAUCCUUCGGGGUGAGUGGCAGACGGGUGAGCAACGCGUGGGAAUCUACCCAUCUCUGCGGAAUAGCUCCGGGAAACUGGAAUUAAUACCGCAUACGCCCUACGGGGGAAAGAUUUAUCGGGGAUGGAUGAGCCCGCGUUGGAUUAGCUAGUUGGUGGGGUAAAGGCCUACCAAGGCGACGAUCCAUAGCUGGUCUGAGAGGAUGAUCAGCCACAUUGGGACUGAGACACGGCCCAAACUCCUACGGGAGGCAGCAGUGGGGAAUAUUGGACAAUGGGCGCAAGUCUGAUCCAGCCAUGCCGCGUGAGUGAUGAAGGCCUUAGGGUUGUAAAGCUCUUUCACCGAUGAAGAUAAUGACGGUAGUCGGAGAAGAAGCCCCGGCUAACUUCGUGCCAGCCGCCGCGGUAA